Molecule: ribosomal RNA, 370 nt
Filed under: uncultured bacterium
Lineage: Bacteria
Description: bacterial SSU rRNA
Rfam family: Bacterial small subunit ribosomal RNA
Source: RNAcentral
AGAGGUGGCAAGCGUUGUUCGGAAUUACUGGGCGUAAAGGGCGCGUAGGUGGCCUUCUUAGUCAGACGUGAAAUCCCGGGCUUAACUCGGGAACUGCGUCUGAUACUGGAAGGCCGGAGUUCGGGAGAGGAAUGUGGAAUUCCAGGUGUAGCGGUGAAAUGCGUAGAUAUCUGGAGGAACACCGGUGGCGAAGGCGGCAUUCUGGACCGAAACUGACGCUGAGGCGCGAAAGCCAGGGGAGCAAACGGGAUUAGAUACCCCGGUAGUCCUGGCCCUAAACGAUGAGUGCUUGGUGUGGCGGGUAUCGAUCCCUGCCGUGCCGAAGCUAACGCAUUAAGCACUCCGCCUGGGGAGUACGGUCGCAAGGCUG